This 1098-nucleotide long non-coding RNA is filed under the name Monodelphis domestica (gray short-tailed opossum). RNAcentral's name for it is "lncRNA (ENSMODG00000037528.1)". The record is from RNAcentral. Lineage: Eukaryota; Metazoa; Chordata; Mammalia; Didelphimorphia; Didelphidae.
CCUACGCCACCACCCACCCCCAAGAAAAGCACCCUUUUAUCCCAACCCCCCCCCCUCCCCAACAAAGAAUGAUUGAUGGCAAUAAAUUAUCAGGCAGCAGCAGCAGCAGCAGCAGCCAGUGUAGGCAGCAGGUCUUCCUAGCUCUCAGGAGCCCUGGGUUCGCCUUGGAGUCUUUUUUUUUUUUCUGGCGGUGGGUAGUCCCGGAUUUCAGUGACUUGUCUGCCUCAGGGGACAGAGGGGCGACCUCCUGGUCAGUUUAAGGGCUGCGGAGGGGUCCGCCCACCUGACUGAUAGAGAAGACUAGUAGGAUGGUAAGUGACAAAGAUGGCUAAUCGCAGUAGUAAAGAAAAAAGGAGCACCCCUCCUUCUUUCCCGAUUCAGCAUCUGCUCUCCUCCCUCAAAUUGAGUGUAUACUGGGGGAGGGAAGGUACUUGAUCGUGACACCCAAAGCAGAAGCUCUGAGAAAUAAAGAGUGCUCCUUUUGGAGGAAGGGACUGCUAGAAAGCCUUAGGGGGCACCGAUUGCUCCAGAAAGUUUUAACGGUGCAUCCAUAUUUAUGGCUGUUCCCCCCAUCCCCCGCCCCUUCCUCCUCUCUCAGUUCACCUCAACAGAAAUCCCAGAGAAGACGCAAGUCGAGUGCGGAUCACCCCCCGCAGGUCCUCACGCCUCAGACCCAAGCAGCAGCAGAGGAGGCGGCAGCAGUAGCAGAAGGAGCAGCAAUACAGAGAGAGAUUGCUUCUGGAGAUUCUUGGUGUUUGGAGGGAGUGGCUGAGAUUCCUGCCUUGACUUGGAGGAGACUUUUCCCCUGGAUCCUGUAUUAGCUUGCUGGAUGAGUGGCUGAGAUUCCUGCCUUGACUUUGGAGGAGGCUGCGUUGGUGGAACUCUGGCUGAAGACACUACUGGGACUUCUGGCUGAGGAUUACUGGGAAAUCAAGAUGGAUAUCAGACUUGGGGAAGCCUUACCAAGGCUGAGCAGGACAUCAGAGCAACACUUAGGGUGGUAGGCUAUAUAAUUCUCUACCUUCUUACAUUUUCCCAUUUUCACUCUUUCACCUCUUUGUAAAUAAAGCUUCUAAAAGUCAUUUUGACUUAAGGUAU